This 25-nucleotide long non-coding RNA is filed under the name dengue virus type 2. Its description in RNAcentral is "Dengue virus 2 partial sfRNA1". The record is from RNAcentral. Lineage: Riboviria; Orthornavirae; Kitrinoviricota; Flasuviricetes; Amarillovirales; Flaviviridae.
CAGAAGUCAGGUCGGAAUUAAGCCA